UCGAAGCUGCCGCAGGUUCGAGUUGAGCGCAGCGAAACAACGGAGCCGCUCGCGGCGACGGCCCGAAGGGCGAGCGAAGCGAGUCAUCCUGCACGACCCACCA
RNAcentral lists this small RNA (103 nucleotides) under Escherichia coli. RNAcentral's name for it is "partial RtT sRNA". It matches the Rfam family "RtT RNA", at positions 24 to 130 of the family's 130-position model. From Rfam's summary of the family: This family represents a bacterial cis-regulatory element known as RtT RNA. The exact function of RtT is unknown although it is thought that it may be involved in changing the cellular response in relation to amino acid starvation. The record is from RNAcentral. Lineage: Bacteria; Pseudomonadati; Pseudomonadota; Gammaproteobacteria; Enterobacterales; Enterobacteriaceae.